RNAcentral lists this ribosomal RNA (497 nucleotides) under uncultured bacterium. RNAcentral describes it as "partial 16S ribosomal RNA". It matches the Rfam family "Bacterial small subunit ribosomal RNA", at positions 30 to 523 of the family's 1533-position model. The record is from RNAcentral.
AUUGAACGCUGGCGGCAUGCCUAACACAUGCAAGCCGAACGUGAAAGAGGGGCAACUCUCGAGUAAAGUGGCGGACGGGUGAGUAAUACGUAGGAAUCUGCCCUAAAGUGGGGGAUAACCUGCCGAAAGGCGGGCUAAUACCGCAUAAUCUCUACGGAGAAAAGGCGGCUAGCAAUAGCCUUCGCUUUAGGAUGAGCCUACGUCGGAUUAGCUAGUUGGUAGGGUAAAGGCCUACCAAGGCAACAAUCCGUAGCUGGUCUGAGAGGACGAUCAGCCACGCUGGAACUGAGACACGGUCCAGACUCCUACGGGAGGCAGCAGUGGGGAAUAUUGGACAAUGGGGGAAACCCUGAUCCAGCAAUGCCACGUGUGCGAUGAAGGCCUGCGGGUUGUAAAGCACUUUCGGUGAGGAAGAAACGCUCAAAUAUAAUACAUUUGAGAACUGACGUUACUCACAGAAGAAGCACCGGCAAACUCUGUGCCAGCCGCCGCGGUAA